UAAAAACUUUUAACAACGGAUCUCUUGGUUCUGGCAUCGAUGAAGAACGCAGCGAAAUGCGAUAAGUAAUGUGAAUUGCAGAAUUCAGUGAAUCAUCGAAUCUUUGAACGCACAUUGCGCCCAUUAGUAUUCUAUUGGGCAUGCCUGUUCGAGCGUCAUU
This 160-nucleotide ribosomal RNA is filed under the name foliar endophyte of Picea glauca sp. E1. Its description in RNAcentral is "5.8S ribosomal RNA". It matches the Rfam family "5.8S ribosomal RNA". From Rfam's summary of the family: 5.8S ribosomal RNA (5.8S rRNA) is a component of the large subunit of the eukaryotic ribosome. It is transcribed by RNA polymerase I as part of the 45S precursor that also contains 18S and 28S rRNA. Lineage: Eukaryota; Fungi; Ascomycota. The record is from RNAcentral.